AGUACCCUUCUAAGAAGAGGAAGAGACCAGAGCUCUCUCUCUCUCUCUCUCCCUCUUUCUGCUGUGAGGACACCGCAAACAGGAGGCUAUCUGCAAGCCAGGAAGAGAGCCAUCAUCAGGAGCUCAACCAUGCUGGCAUCCCGAUCUCAGACUUUCAGGACUAUGAGAAAACCACUUCCUGUUGUUGAAGCCAUCUAGCCUAUGCUGUUUUGUUAUGGUGAUGGCAGCUGACAAGAUAGACGUGUAUAUAUAUGCCAAGCUUUAAAGGUCAAGAGACUGCACAUUUCAUAGAAACAUUUUUCACUAUAUGUUAUUUUCUUCUUGAUGUGGAUAUUAACGAGCAUAACCAAAUACAUGCCGCUACCAAGGAUCACUUCUCAUAAUUUUGUCGAAGAGACACACAUAUAAACUAACUUUGUGUUUGAGCAUAAGCCUCAUGAAGGGCUUCCUGUCUUGCUUUGUUUGCUGCUGUUUCUCCAGAGCCUACAGCAGGGCUUGGCACAUAGAAGGAACUUGGUAAAAAUUUACUGAAUAAAGGAAAACACAUGGAGAAUGCCUUUCCCCCUCCUCUACUGUUGCAAGAGGAAGAAGUUUUACUCUUUAAAAGCCACCCCUGGAAAUCCUUGCUUUCUUCUCCUGAAACCAGGUCUCCCCGGUGGGCCCAAUGUGCCCGGUGCUAAGAUGCAGAAGCAGGGUAACCACAAGACUCUCUACUCAUGACUCUUUGAACACAGGAAGGUGAAACAAAGCAGCGGCUUACACUAACUGAGGAUCUCUCGUUGCCCACCGCUGUGAUCUGCACGUUGCCCAGAUGGAGGAUGGCUGCUAGGAUCUUAAAAACAUCCAUCUGAAAAUCUUCCUUGAAACCUGAAAAAAAAUUUCCAAAUUAGGGUUACUGCAUUUCUUCUCUUACUUCACACUAGUAAGAUAAGCACCUGAAUUCUUUCAAGACACUCUAGUGCCAUCAGUGCCAAGAUCUGGACUUGAAAUGACACAGACGUGAAUUCUGCAGCCCUCUGGGUUUCCCCUUUUGGCAUUGCUGCUAGAAGUUCAACACAAAAAGUAAUAUGCAAGUAACCACUUCAUGUCAGUUUCCUGAGAGAAUCAGCUCUCAUUUAUUCGACGUGAUAUGCUUCCUUUA
Long non-coding RNA from Felis catus (domestic cat), 1141 nucleotides. RefSeq lists it as uncharacterized. The transcript is spliced from 2 exons. The record is from RefSeq and is a predicted model, not a curated record. Lineage: Eukaryota; Metazoa; Chordata; Mammalia; Carnivora; Felidae.